UACGGAGGAUCCGAGCGUUAUCCGGAUUUAUUGGGUUUAAAGGGAGCGUAGGCGGGUUGUUAAGUCAGCUGUGAAAGUUUGCGGCUCAACCGUAAAAUUGCAGUUGAUACUGGCAUCCUUGAGUACAGUAGAGGUAGGCGGAAUUCGUGGUGUAGCGGUGAAAUGCUUAGAUAUCACGAAGGACUCCGAUUGCGAAGGCAGCCUGCUGGACUGUAACUGACGCUGAUGCUCGAAAGUGUGGGUAUCAAACAGG
Molecule: ribosomal RNA, 253 nt
Filed under: uncultured bacterium
Lineage: Bacteria
Description: partial 16S ribosomal RNA
Rfam family: Bacterial small subunit ribosomal RNA
Source: RNAcentral